Molecule: transfer RNA, 63 nt
Filed under: Penicillium salamii
Lineage: Eukaryota; Fungi; Ascomycota; Eurotiomycetes; Eurotiales; Aspergillaceae
Description: tRNA-Pseudo
Rfam family: tRNA
About the family: Transfer RNA (tRNA) molecules are approximately 80 nucleotides in length. Their secondary structure includes four short double-helical elements and three loops (D, anti-codon, and T loops).
Source: RNAcentral
GCAUCAUUGGUCUAGUGGUAGAAUUCGUCGUUGCCAUCGACGAGGCCCGUGUUCGAUUCACGG